RNAcentral lists this ribosomal RNA (468 nucleotides) under uncultured bacterium. RNAcentral describes it as "partial 16S ribosomal RNA". It matches the Rfam family "Bacterial small subunit ribosomal RNA", at positions 28 to 507 of the family's 1533-position model. The record is from RNAcentral.
GACGAACGCUGGCGGCGUGCUUAACACAUGCAAGUCGAACGGAAAGGCCCUGCUUUUGUGGGGUGCUCGAGUGGCGAACGGGUGAGUAACACGUGAGUAACCUGCCCUUGACUUUGGGAUAACUUCAGGAAACUGGGGCUAAUACCGGAUAGGAGCUCCUGCUGCAUGGUGGGGGUUGGAAAGUUUCGGCGGUUGGGGAUGGACUCGCGGCUUAUCAGCUUGUUGGUGGGGUAGUGGCUUACCAAGGCUUUGACGGGUAGCCGGCCUGAGAGGGUGACCGGCCACAUUGGGACUGAGAUACGGCCCAGACUCCUACGGGAGGCAGCAGUGGGGAAUAUUGCACAAUGGGCGGAAGCCUGAUGCAGCGACGCCGCGUGCGGGAUGACGGCCUUCGGGUUGUAAACCGCUUUCGCCUGUGACGAAGUGUGAGUGACGGUAAUGGGUAAAGAAGCACCGGCUAACUACGUG